AAGGAGCGCCCCAGCGGCUCAGCGCCGGCUCUUUAAAGGUCGUCUGGUCCGGCCCCUCCCCCGCCGCCUCGCCGGGCAUCGCCCGCCGCCUCUGCCGAGUGGCGGGGUGGGACCCGAAGCCACCCUGGGGCUUUUCACCGGGAAAGUCGCAGUCUCUCACACCUUUCUGCCACUCUGAGGAGUGGGCUAGAAAUGAAUCCGUUAGUAAAAAUGUAGUGCCUAUAGCCUUUAGGCUCAUUCGGGAGGUUUGAGAACUUGUACGUGGCAGUGAUUUCAGCUGAAUUUUUGAUGUGUAGUAUUUCUUAGGUAACCGUUUGCGGACUCUCCAGGACCCACCUGAGAGAUGCAGUGCGGUAGAAACUGAGGUCAAGCGCAUGGGCUUCCGAAACCCGCUUCUGGGUUCACGUCCUGCCCCUAUACUUGACCGAAUCGCCCAGGCUCCACUGAAGAGGGAAUUUUCCGCGGUGAUGGAGAAGAUAUGUAUCAUGCUUAGCGUUUGGGUUACAGAGGUCUGUGCAUUUGUCAAAACUCAUGGAAUGGUGCAGCCCUCCAACACCUAUUUAAUCAAUUCCCUAUGCGAAGUUCUCUCCGUGGAAAUACUUCCUUUUGCCUGACGGCUGGACGCUGACAAAUACGGAUUGCGAAGUGAAAUAUAUCUCCUGUGAAUGUCAAUCCAGAGGGUUUAAGAAACACUAUCUCAGAGGAGUGGGAGAGUUCUUCACCAAACAGAUGCCCUACGUGCCAAGGGUCCAGUCCUUCCACAGACGGGUGCUCUGCGUCUCAGGUCUGUGAAGAGCAGAGACCCAAUUCUGCCACAGCAACUGUCACCGUUGGACCCUAGGCCUAGCGUGGCCUUAAGAAUCACUGGCGAUGAGCUUACAGUUGCCUACCACGGUUUGGCUGGAACCCCAAGCUUCAUGUGGACUCUGACCUCUCUCAGAUAUGUAGAAAUGCAGCUUUAUUUUUAAUUUUUGGUAAUGUUUAUUUUUGAGAGAGAGAGAGAAAGAGACAGAGUGUGAGUGGGAGAGGGGCAGAGAGAGAAGGAGACACAGAACCUGAAGCAGGCUCCAGGCUCCCAGCUGUCAGCAGAGAGCCCCAUGUAGGGCUCGAACCCCCGAGCUGUGAGAUCAUGACCCGAACCAAAGUCGGAAGCUUAACCAACUGACCCACAGGCGCCCCGAAAUGCAGCUUUUUAACUUGCUACCCUUAGCAAGUGUGGGGGGGGGGGGGAAACAAGAGUUAAUGAUGAAAAAGCAAGAAAGGGGUACCACAGACCUCACCAAGUGGGACCUGGUGAGGCCAAGAGAAGGAUGAAAAAGACAGAUUUUCAGGGUGGAUUUUUUCUCUCUGAUGUUGCCCUUUCUCACAGGUCACAUGAGGAGGUAAUAGACAAGAGAAGGAAACGAAGAACCUUGUACCUAUGUUUCUGCCAUAUCCAGCCCAAAUGAGGCUUUUGCUCUAUUUUAUUCAUUAACUGACUAUACUUCUGCUUCAGUGCUCCCAUUAGCAGUGAGGCACUCUUUAAAGACCAGAGCUAUUAGGCCAGCCUCACUUAAUCACCCAUUCUUAAUGAAAAGAACUGCUCCACAUUUGGGGAAUUCAAAACAUUUCUUAUGUAUGCCAAAAUAAACACAGAACCUCUUGGCAGUCGCCUGUGGGGAUUCUCCUUGCUUAGGAUUUUGUAUUUCCUUAUGCUAAUUUAGAAAUAGGAACAGGAAACCCAGGACUCGAGGCCGUUAAGCGGAUUGGUAACACUCUGGAGUGUUGCGGGUACGUAACUCAAUGAAUGAAUGUCGAGUCCUCCGUGAUAGCUGGAGUAAUAGUAUUUUCAUUGAGCACCGCAGUAAGUCAUUGCCUCCACCCGGCGAGAUGCUAAUACAUUAGCACCUAACUGCGCGAGGACCUUACAUUUAGUAGAGGAAUCCGUCACCGGACGUGAAUUACUCAGGCAAAUGUUGGCAAGUUACCUCGCUGGUGACGGGCAGAACCUUUUCUAGCGAGCUGAAAAGCAUGUUACAAGGUAGCUGGCAUGUCAUAGAGGGAGAGCAGCUUGUGAUCAGGUUUUCUAUUUGGAGAAGGCAGUGCUGUGCCAAGCAACCCCAACCACAACACAUUUAAAGUCUGAAUGGGAAAAGGAGCGGUACAUCUGGGAUCCUAUUUCCCCUUCCAAGAAGAUACAAGUCACUCUAGACGGCUUCUCCUGGUUCCAGAGUCCUUUUCCUGCCGGUUUUUUUUUUUUUUCUUCUGUGUCCUGUUUUACUUCAACUGUAGGGGAUUGAGAGUGAUGGGCUUGGGAGGCAAGUUCUAUUUCCUCUCUUUCCGCUUGUUUUUCUGCUACAUUUUAGGUCUUCCUCGUGAUUUAUGUGCAUAAAUGAUGGCUUACAUGAAUCAUUCCUAAACGGUUAACUACGCAAGCAAACUGUUCAUCAUCCAGUUCUCCGUGAUAGCCUCUCCUUAUGUUCACCAGGCUGCCUCACUCUUUUCUCAAAUCCCACCGCAAAUUUCACGUUUCCGAAAAGCCCUCUCUGACAGCUACAAUGAAGACUUCUAACAGCCCUUAUUCGACCUCACCUCUGUCCCUUUUCCCCAGCUCACCAGUUAGCUGUUCUCACUAUCUGACGGUGCAGUCACAAGAAAAUAAAGUAGGGACAGCAGACACAUAAGUUUUGUACUGUUUCUUCCCUCUUGAUCUGUGCCUGGAUUUAUGCCUUCCUGACAAAUAAGAAGGUCGUUGUGUUUAAACAUUACAACCUAAGUGAGAAUUAUAGAGAAUUAUAUAGUCAUACCUUGGAGAUAUUGUGGGUUUAGUUCCAGAACACCACAAUAAAACGAGUAUCACAGUAAAGCAAGUCAAAUUAAAUUUUUGCUUCCCCAGUGCAUAUAAAAGUUAUGUGUAUACUAUAAUCUUUUAACUGUGCGAUAGCAUUGUAUCUAAAAAAAAAAACAACAAUGUACAUACCUUAAUUCAAAGAUCCUUUAUUACUAAAAGAUGAGUUUUCAGCAAGUCUUAAUCUUUUUGCUGGCAGAGGGUCUUGCCUCAAUGUUGAGGGCUGCUGACGGAUCAGGGUGCUGGUUGCUGACGGUUGGGGUGGCUGUGGCAAUCUCCCAAAAUGAGACAACAGUGAGAUUUACCUAUGUUUAUACGUGGAGGGUUCGUUCAAUCAUUUUAAUUGCUGCAGUCAUAGAAUACAGUUCAUCCCUUUCCCACUGAUGGACAUUUCGUUUCUUUCCAACCUUCACGUCCAGGUACGUCCGGGCUGCUGUAACAAAAAUACCAUAGGCCAGAUGGCUCAUAAACAACAGAAAUUCAUUUCUUCCAUUUCUGGAGGCUGAGCAGCUCCAGGUCAAGUCACCAGCAGAUUCAGUGUCUGAGUGAAAGGAUUUCAAUCUUAAAUGGAACCAGAAGAUAUGAAAUGCGGAAUCUCAAGAAUGUACCCUCUGAAGAAUGGAACUUAAGAACCAAGAGACUGAUUUCCAUUAAAUGCCCGAUUUACCCAAGACCAAGACUCACUGCCUCACCAAUGAACAUCCAACAAGAAUCUCUCCCCUUUCUCAAGCCAGUAAACGUACUGCUCGGACUCUGGCUCAACUUCCCCUUCAUUGCACUCCUUGGCCAUAAAUAUUUAAAUAUUCUCCCUCGAUGCUGAGUGGACCAGCCUAGAGCUUGCAUUGCCCAAGUUGUAUCCCUCUGCUAUUCCCAACUCAGUUUUAGGUCAAGACAACACACUUCUCUGUGGGUCAGGAAUCCAGGCACGGUUCAUCUGGGUCCUCUACUUCAGAGUGUCUCAUGAGGCUUCAAUCAAGGUGUUGGCCAGGGCUGGGGUCUCUUCUGGGAAGAGCUCUCUUGGCUGGGAAAAACCCACUUCCAAGCUCACUUGGUUGUUGGCAGGAUUCAGCUCUUUGCAGGCAGUUGGACUGAGAGCCUUAAUUCCUUGCUGGCUGUCGGCCAGAGGCUACCUUCAGUUGUCUGCUAUCCGAGCCUUUUCACAGGACAGCUCAUAACAUACCGACUUGCUUUGUCAAAACCAGCAGAGGUGAGACUUUGAAAGCAAGACUUGACGGUCAGAAUCUUCAGUACUAUCUCUUCAUGGAUAAUAAUAUUCAUGGAUAGUAUUCUUGAAUAUUAACCUACUCAUCUUGCGUAUUCUAUUGGUUAGAAGCAAGUCACAGGUCCCACCCCAUAAUCAAGGGGAGGGAUUACCCAGACGUGUGAAUGUCAGGAGGUAGGGAUUAUCAUGGGCCAUCUUAGAGCUCAUCUGUCGUAGGCAGGCAUAAUAGUUAAGAAUAUUGGUUAGCCUGUCAAUUAACAGCAAAAGAAACAACAGAUGUUGGCGAGGAAGUGGAGAAAGGGGAACCCUCUGUUGCCCCUUUGGUGGGAAUGCCAACUGGUGCAGCCACUCUGGAGAGCAAUAUGGAGGUUCCCCAAAAAACUACAAAUAGGGGUGCCUGGGUGGCUCAGUCGGUUCAGGUCACGAUCUCGCAGUUCGUGAGUUAGAGCCCCACUUCAGACUCUGUGCUGACAGCUCAGAGCCUGGAACCUGCUUUGGAUUCUGUGUCUCCUCUCUCUGCCCUUUGCUCCCUCUCUGUCUCUCUCUCUCUCUCAAAACUAAAUAAACAUUAAAAAAAAACAAAAACCUAAAACUAGAACUACCCUACGAUCCAGCAAUUGCACUACUGGGUAUUUACCCAUAGGAUACAAAAAUACAGAUUUGAAGGGGCACAUGCAUUCUGAUGUUUAUAGCAGCAUGAUCAACAAUAGCCAAACUAUGGAAAGAGCCCAGAUGUCCAUCAAGUGAUGGAUAGAGAGGAUGUGGUGUAUAUAUGAUUGAAUAUUACUCAGCCAUCAAAAAGAAUGAAAUCUUGCCAUUUGCAACGACAUGGAUGGAGCUAGAAUGUAUCAUGCUAAGCGAAAUAAGUCAAUCAGAGAAAGACAAGUACCAUAUGAUUUCACUCAAGUGUAGAAUUUAAGAAACAAAACAAAUGAACAUAUGGGAAGGGG
Acinonyx jubatus (cheetah) is the source of this 4999-nucleotide long non-coding RNA. RefSeq lists it as uncharacterized. Lineage: Eukaryota; Metazoa; Chordata; Mammalia; Carnivora; Felidae. The transcript has 4 exons. The record is from RefSeq and is a predicted model, not a curated record.